Molecule: ribosomal RNA, 600 nt
Filed under: uncultured archaeon
Lineage: Archaea
Description: bacterial SSU rRNA
Rfam family: Archaeal small subunit ribosomal RNA
Source: RNAcentral
GCGCACUGCUCAGUAACACGUGGACAACCUGCCCUGAGGACUGGAAUAAUCCCGGGAAACUGGGGGUAAUUCCAGAUAUGUCAGAACUCCUGGAAUGGGUUCUGGCAGAAAGGCUCCGGCGCCUCAGGAUGGGUCUGCGGCCUAUCAGGGUAGUAGUGGGUGUAACGUACCUACUAGCCUACGACGGGUACGGGUUGUGAGAGCAAGAGCCCGGAGAUGGAUUCUGAGACAUGAAUCCAGGCCCUACGGGGUGCAGCAGGCGCGAAAACUUUACAAUGCGGGCAACCGCGAUAAGGGGACCUCGAGUGCUGGGUUACAAACCUGGCUGUUGGGCUGCCUAAAAAGCAGUCUAUAGCAAGGGCCGGGCAAGACCGGUGCCAGCCGCCGCGAUAACACCGGCGGCUCGAGUGGUAACCGCUAUUAUUGGGUCUAAAGGGUCUGUAGCCGGCCGACUAAGUCUCUUGGGAAAUCUGGCAUCUCAAGUGUCAGGCUGCCAGGGGAUACUGGUCGGCUUGGGACCGGGAGAGGUGAGAGGUACCUCGGGGGUAGGGGUGAAAUCUUGUAAUCCUCGAGGGACCACCAGUGGCGAAGGCGUCUCAC